GACGAACGCUGGCGGCGUGCUUAACACAUGCAAGUCGAACGGAAAGGCCCUGCUCUUGUGGGGUGCUCGAGUGGCGAACGGGUGAGUAACACGUGAGUAACCUGUCCCUGACUUUGGGAUAACUUCAGGAAACUGGGGCUAAUACCGGAUAGGAGCUCCUGAUGCAUGGUGGGGGUUGGAAAGUUUCGGCGGUUGGGGAUGGAAUGGCGGCUUCUCAGCUUGUUGGUGGGGUAGUGGCUUACAAAGGCUUUGACGGGUAGCCGGCCUGGGAGGUUGACCGGCCACCUUGCUACUGCGGUACGACCCAGAGUCCAACGGGAGGCAGCAGUGGAAAAUAUUGCACAACGGGCGGAAGCCUGAGACAGCAACGCCGGGUGCGUGAUGACGGCUUUUGGGUUGUAAACCUCUUUCGCCUGUGACGAAGCGAUAGUGACGGUAAUGAAUAAAGAAGCACCGGCUAACUACGUG
RNAcentral lists this ribosomal RNA (468 nucleotides) under uncultured bacterium. RNAcentral describes it as "partial 16S ribosomal RNA". It matches the Rfam family "Bacterial small subunit ribosomal RNA", at positions 28 to 507 of the family's 1533-position model. The record is from RNAcentral.